AAGCGAAACAUGGCUCGUUGUAGCCGUGUCUAUUCAGCGUAGUGGCUGGGUACUGAUGAGCAGCUAAAA
Molecule: non-coding RNA, 69 nt
Filed under: Marinomonas sp. S3726
Lineage: Bacteria; Pseudomonadati; Pseudomonadota; Gammaproteobacteria; Oceanospirillales; Oceanospirillaceae
Source: RNAcentral